GCUUCGGCAGAUUUAGCUGGUUUCUAGUGGCGGACGGGUGAGUAACGCGUGGGUAACCUGCCCUAUACAGGGGGAUAACAACCAGAAAUGGUUGCUAAUACCGCAUAAGCGCACAGGACCGCAUGGUCUGGUGUGAAAAACUCCGGUGGUAUAGGAUGGACCCGCGUUGGAUUAGCCAGUUGGCAGGGUAACGGCCUACCAAAGCGACGAUCCAUAGCCGGCCUGAGAGGGUGAACGGCCACAUUGGGACUGAGACACGGCCCAGACUCCUACGGGAGGCAGCAGUGGGGAAUAUUGCACAAUGGGGGAAACCCUGAUGCAGCGACGCCGCGUGAAGGAAGAAGUAUCUCGGUAUGUAAACUUCUAUCAGCAGGGAAGAUAGUGACGGUACCUGACUAAGAAGCCCCGGCUAACUACGUGCCAGCAGCCGCGGUAAUACGUAGGGGGCAAGCGUUAUCCGGAUUUACUGGGUGUAAAGGGAGCGUAGACGGAUUAGCAAGUCUGAUGUGAAAGGCAGGGGCUCAACCUCUGGACUGCAUUGGAAACUGCCAGUCUUGAGUGCCGGAGAGGUAAGCGGAAUUCCUAGUGUAGCGGUGAAAUGCGUAGAUAUUAGGAGGAACACCAGUGGCGAAGGCGGCUUACUGGACGGCAACUGACGUUGAGG
RNAcentral lists this ribosomal RNA (664 nucleotides) under uncultured Lachnospiraceae bacterium. RNAcentral's name for it is "bacterial SSU rRNA". It matches the Rfam family "Bacterial small subunit ribosomal RNA", at positions 70 to 751 of the family's 1533-position model. Lineage: Bacteria; Bacillati; Bacillota; Clostridia; Lachnospirales; Lachnospiraceae. The record is from RNAcentral.